RNAcentral lists this ribosomal RNA (460 nucleotides) under uncultured bacterium. Its description in RNAcentral is "partial 16S ribosomal RNA". It matches the Rfam family "Bacterial small subunit ribosomal RNA", at positions 338 to 795 of the family's 1533-position model. The record is from RNAcentral.
CCUACGUGGGGCAGCAGUGAGGAAUAUUGGUCAAUGGCCGAGAGGCUGAACCAGCCAAGUCGCGUGAGGGAAGACGUCCCUAUGGGUUGUAAACCUCUUUUAUAUGGGAAUAAAAUGUUCCACGUGUGGGAUUUUGUAUGUACCAUAUGAAUAAGGAUCGGCUAACUCCGUGCCAGCAGCCGCGGUAAUACGGAGGAUCCGAGCGUUAUCCGGAUUUAUUGGGUUUAAAGGGAGCGUAGGUGGAUUGUUAAGUCAGUUGUGAAAGUUUGCGGCUCAACCGUCAAACUGCAGUUGAAACUGGCGGUCUUGAGUACAGGAGAGGUAGGCGGAAUUCGUGGUGUAGCGGUGAAAUGCUUAGAUAUCACGAAGAACCCCGAUUGCGAAGGCAGCUCACUGGACUGCAACUGACGCUGAGGCUCGAAAGCGUGGGUAUCAAACAGGAUUAGAUACCCGAGUAGUC